This 505-nucleotide ribosomal RNA is filed under the name uncultured bacterium. Its description in RNAcentral is "partial 16S ribosomal RNA". It matches the Rfam family "Bacterial small subunit ribosomal RNA", at positions 28 to 507 of the family's 1533-position model. The record is from RNAcentral.
GACGAACGCUGGCGGCGUGCCUAAUACAUGCAAGUAGAACGCACAGUUUAUACCGUAGCUUGCUACACCAUAGACUGUGAGUUGCGAACGGGUGAGUAACGCGUAGGUAACCUGCCUGGUAGCGGGGGAUAACUAUUGGAAACGAUAGCUAAUACCGCAUAAUAUUAAUUAUUGCAUGAUAAUUGAUUGAAAUAUGCAACUGCAUCACUACCAGAUGGACCUGCGUUGUAUUAGCUAGUAGGUGAGGUAACGGCUCACCUAGGCGACGAUACAUAGCCGACCGGCGAGGGUGAUCGGCCACACUGGGACUGAGACACGGCCCAGACUCCUACGGGAGGCAGCAGUAGGGAAUCUUCGGCAAUGGACGAAAGUCUGACCGAGCAACGCCGCGUGAGUGAAGAAGGUUUUCGGAUCGUAAAGCUCUGUUGUAAGAGAAGAACGGGUGUGAGAGUGGAAAGUUCACACUGUGACGGUAUCUUACCAGAAAGGGACGGCUAACUACGUG